Molecule: long non-coding RNA, 1223 nt
Filed under: Equus asinus (donkey)
Lineage: Eukaryota; Metazoa; Chordata; Mammalia; Perissodactyla; Equidae
Description: lncRNA (ENSEASG00005026505.1)
Source: RNAcentral
UGUCUUCUCAUAUGUUCUUUGCAGACUUUGAUCCCCUUAAGGAUGUAAAUGCUGCCUUUUCUUUCUGAGUCCUCAGCCCAAAGUCCAGUGUUUGACAUGUAAUAACUAUGUGUUGAAUGAAUGUUGCUGAAAGUCAGAACUAGCUAACAUUUAUUGAGGACUUACUUUGUAGUAAAUAUUUGACUAGUAUUCUCAUUUAAUCCCUACUAAUGUGUCCCUAGACUGUGGUUUUUCUUGUGGUUUUGCAGACAAGGAAACUAAGGCUAAGGGAGAUGAAACAGCUUGCCUAAAAGUCACACAAAUAAAAAUGAUAGAGAUGGAAUUAGAAACUAGGAAUAUCUGAACCUGUGUCUGUCACUUGGUCUUUUAAGGUGAGAGUGCCUACACCAGCCUUUGGGCAUCAUAUGAUCCCCAGGGAUUGAUCAAGAUAACAGUAGGAGGUUCUGAACCUGAAUAUCUCCUGAUACUUAUAAUGGCAUCAUGGCCUCCUAUUUUCAGGGGGAAAACUCAUCUAAUACUUAAAUUGUAGUUUUUAGUGCAUGGAUCUCUGAAUAUCAGAAGAUUGCCUUCAAAAUGUUAUUUAGAUGCAUCUUAUGAAAUGGAUAUAUUCUAGGACUAUGUCAGUGUAGUACAAUCUGCUAAAGUAAGUUCUGCAUCACAAUGGCUUUUGGAAAUGUUGAGAUGUGUUCCUGGGAUAUUAGUUUGACUUCCAGAAAAAAAAUUCUCAUUGAAAAGGUUUUCUCCCCACCUAUGAGGAGCUCCAUUCUUUCUUUUAAAUUGACCAGACAUCCUGCCAGUUUGUGUAAGUGUGUGCUUGUGAACCCAUGUGCUUUUAUGUGCAUACGUGAGCUCAGGGGUAGAGCAAGUCAGAGGGAGUGUUGGCAGGAGACAAUAUGGAAAAUGGAAAAUCAUGGCAGACUUCUUUGUGUGCCAAGUUUGAAUAUGAAACCUAUUGCUCCUGAUGAAAACAAAACCAAAAUAAAAUGCUGUGGGUGAAAUAAUUUCUGACAAUGUAGCUACACUCAUAGAUUGUGUAAAAGAAUAGAAAAUUGCAGCUGCCAGUUGUGAAUCGAGUCUUUGGAUUUUUUUUCCCCAUUUUCGUGUGUCACAUAAUACCCCUUAUUUCUGCGUAUCUGAGGGCUAAUAGUAUAAAAUGCUUACCAAUCUGACUCUAUUUUCCUCUUUUUAAUAAAAUUUGGAAUAAAAUUUAUGAUCAUAACAAA